RNAcentral lists this long non-coding RNA (1041 nucleotides) under Apteryx owenii (little spotted kiwi). RNAcentral describes it as "lncRNA (ENSAOWG00000014446.1)". The record is from RNAcentral. Lineage: Eukaryota; Metazoa; Chordata; Aves; Apterygiformes; Apterygidae.
AUGAGUGUUAAGCCAGAAAUCGCUCCUGCCAGAGCCUUUUCUCCUCUGUUAUCGGCAUGGUCCGUUUGCCGCUCAGUGCGGGAGGUGAACGCGGAUUUUCCUGUUCUGCAUCGGGCUCCGAUGAGCCGGCACAAGCGGUGCGAGGUUGGAGCCACCAGCCCUCGCCGCGGGGUCAGGCGACCAAAGCCCUGCUGCAGCGCUGCCUCCCAGCCAGCUGCUCUUCAGCUCUGCCCGAGACUCGGGAUGCCUUCGGAGCGGGCGCUGAGGUUGUUCCCAAAGCGGCCCUGCUGCCCUUGCCCCGGCCGGCCGGCACGCUCCGGGUUUCCAAAACGCAGACCUGCGGACGGCCCCGCCGUCCCAGCUCAUCCGGCUGCGGGCUCCGACGCUUUUCUUUCUAAGGCAGGCGAGAGGAGCGUCCCAAGACCGGGCGCCCCGGCUGUCGGGAUGCCCCCGUUACAGCCACGUGCUCGCGGCGGCUGCCGGAUGGCCAGUAUUCGGGCAGGGCGUCUGUCCGUCUGUCCGCGUGCAGCGUGCGUAUGCAUGUUGCUAAGUGCGAAGCUGGCGUUUGGCCGCUGGAAACAAGGCCCUUUCGGAGCAGGGAGGGACUUUCUGGUCCCGGCAGAGGGGCGGCUCUUUCCCUGCCCUGCGCUGGCCCUGGGAUUAAGGAGCAGCUGUCGUUGCUCCCUCCCCAUCCAAAGCAGCUCGCUGCAUAUUUGGAAGAAAAUCAAGCGUGCAAUCGGAGCAGCUUGUAAAUGCUUCAGCGCCGCUGGGCUCGGCUCUCAGCUGCGUUUCGUGAGCGCAAAAAGCCCCCGCAGGCAGCCGAGCGGGAGCCCGGGCUCUCGCUGGCGGGAUGCUCUGCUCUGCUCGUCCGGCGCAGCAGGGCUUUGCCAGCCCGUCGGCUCCGAGGCAGCCCCAGUGCCGCGGCCGGGGCUUAAUAUCAUAGCACAGGUGAAUCCGGCUGGGCUCACUGGUUUAACAGCAGCUAGACAGCCUGGUAAACGCCACUUUUUUUUUUUCUUUUUUUUUUUUAAUCAGGUCUAA